ACGCCCAACAGCUAGCCCACCUAAAAUAAUUUCAACAAACCCCUGUUAAUACCCCCUAACUACCCCAGUAUUUUAAUUAAACAAACCAUUUUUCCCCCUUAGUAUAGGCGAUAGAAAGGGGGCUCCGGCGCAAUAGAGAAAGUACCGCAAGGGAAUGCUGAAAGAGAAGUGAAAUAACCCAGUGAAGCCCAAAAAAGCAGAGAUUCAAACUCGUACCUUUUGCAUCAUGAUUUAGCGAGUGUACCUCAAGCAAAGCGCACUUUAGUUUGACGUCCCGAAACUACGUGAGCUACUCCAAGACAGCCUAUCAAUAGGGCGCACCCGUCUCUGUGGCAAAAGAGUGGGGAGAGCUUUGAGUAGAGGUGACAAACCUACCGAACC
RNAcentral lists this ribosomal RNA (381 nucleotides) under Gymnocanthus intermedius. RNAcentral's name for it is "partial 16S ribosomal RNA". It matches the Rfam family "Bacterial large subunit ribosomal RNA", at positions 164 to 839 of the family's 2925-position model. Lineage: Eukaryota; Metazoa; Chordata; Actinopteri; Perciformes; Cottidae. The record is from RNAcentral.